GGAGGGAUGGCUGAGGCCGGUUGAAAGCGCAUGACUCGAAAUCAUGUGUCCGCCUUGCGGUGGACCGGGGGUUCAAAUCCCUCUCCCUCCGCCA
This 94-nucleotide transfer RNA is filed under the name Lentisphaerota bacterium. Its description in RNAcentral is "Lentisphaerae bacterium (groundwater metagenome) tRNA-Ser". It matches the Rfam family "tRNA". From Rfam's summary of the family: Transfer RNA (tRNA) molecules are approximately 80 nucleotides in length. Their secondary structure includes four short double-helical elements and three loops (D, anti-codon, and T loops). Further hydrogen bonds mediate the characteristic L-shaped molecular structure. tRNAs have two regions of fundamental functional importance: the anti-codon, which is responsible for specific mRNA codon recognition, and the 3' end, to which the tRNAs corresponding amino acid is attached (by aminoacyl-tRNA synthetases). tRNAs cope with the degeneracy of the genetic code in two manners: having more than one tRNA (with a specific anti-codon) for a particular amino acid; and 'wobble' base-pairing, i.e. permitting non-standard base-pairing at the 3rd anti-codon position. Lineage: Bacteria; Pseudomonadati; Lentisphaerota. The record is from RNAcentral.